AUUUUGCACUUGUUUUUCCUUAAUGAUACAUGAUGUUGAGUAGCUUUUGAUGCAUUCAUUGACCAUUUGGAAACUAGAAAUAAAUUAUAUUUAUUGACCUUUCUGCAAAUUAGGAAAAAGCCUCCAUUUAUCAAGAUGCCCCAAAGCCGUCUUCUGGGAAAACUGUCACAAAAACCUUACAUAUCUACAAUGACUUGAAGGUUCAUGACAGUGUCUGGGGAUGUCUGGUGCCCAACCUGAUGUGCGCAGUGAACCGUAGUCCCUGAUAGACACCACUGCAGACAUUAAAGGAACUCAGCUGAUUGAAGGAAGCCACCUGUUCCCAGGCCGCCGCCGCUCCCUGUAAUCAAGAAAUAACCACGCUGGGGAGAAAUAUCUCUUUGUUGGUUCUGGUUAAACUGAACCAUUUCUUUUUUGCUUCAUGCUCAAGGAGACCUGCGACACCUAAUUUUAAGACUUUGCUAAGCAGACACCCAUGUAGAGGUACGUAACGAUUUUUCAUUUGAGACCAGUACCCAUGUAGUUAGAAGAAUCUUUUACUUCUCAGGAAAGCAAUUAGUAGUAACAUUAAAUCCAAAGGUCCUUUUUAUUUUUCUUUUUUAAUAACAAGAGUUUUUGCCGUGCUCUUUCUGUUUGAAACUACACUCAGUGCUCUGCAAUUUAUGUUUUAGCUUCCAUAAUGUUAGCGAGAUAUUAAUAUAUGCAUGAAGAGUUGCAGUGAACGUAAUUACAGUGGCAAAGUGAUAAACACAAAGCUAUUCUGCCUGGUAAUAUUAUGUAUUUAACAGGUUUAUUUGUUCAACAGUUUUAACUUUAAUUAUGUUUUGCCAUUUGGGAUUUUUAGACAUGUAGCCAUCAUAGCCCUUCUCUGGCUAUUAGUCUAAGAAGAUUGCA
RNAcentral lists this long non-coding RNA (894 nucleotides) under Felis catus (domestic cat). RNAcentral describes it as "lncRNA (ENSFCAG00000043379.2)". The record is from RNAcentral. Lineage: Eukaryota; Metazoa; Chordata; Mammalia; Carnivora; Felidae.